RNAcentral lists this ribosomal RNA (774 nucleotides) under Triticum aestivum (bread wheat). Its description in RNAcentral is "partial small subunit ribosomal RNA". Lineage: Eukaryota; Viridiplantae; Streptophyta; Magnoliopsida; Poales; Poaceae. The record is from RNAcentral.
AUGACCUGGUGUUUCUACCACAAGAAUAUCCUAGGAGCUCACCAUGGUUUCAUUUCUACUUAUGCAUUGGCAACCCUGGUUCUGUAUAUUUUUUAUGUGAUCAACAAUUGUUUUAUUAGGCCAGAGGUGUUGCACAUAUUCAUGGAGUUUUUCAGCAAGUUUGAUUGCGAGAUAAAAAAGUCUAGCUUGUGGGAACCAGUUUCUACCAGUUACCUUCCAAAUGUGACUGGCAAUUUCUUCAGAAUUCCUAGUGCCUAUUCUUUUGGGGUGCAAAUGUUGUCAAAUGCUCAGUCUAGUUCCAAACCUAUAGAUCUUGAAGGAUAUCGUACUAAGUCCGCCUCCUUGAUGAAGAUGAAAGGGAUAAAAAGUGGGAAGAAGAGGAAGAAAACGUCAAUUGAGCAGCCGCUGGACCCUCCUGCAGAGAAAAUUCAUAUAAGAGGUGAUGAGAAAGUGGAAGAGGCAGUGUUGCCUGAUGCUCGCGUGAAGAAAUUUACUCCUAUUCGCAGGCGAAUAAAGAUACAGGAUCUCCGGAAACAAAUUAAAUUGGGGACCCGAAGCAGCUUUGAUGCCAAGGAGUGGGUUUGUGAAAAUUGCACUUGGACCAACAAGCCCCAGAAGCAUUUAAUUGCGUAUCUUCCUCCUUUCUUUUGUGAAAAUUGCCAAUAUGAUCUUCUUAAAAUGGAUAAUUAUGAAUUUUCAUUUUCGAUGGCUGAUGUCACUGUAAACGGCUUUUCACCGGUUGGCAAUAUCAAGGAUCAAGGAAAUACAGAGUAA